GACGAACGCUGGCGGCGUGCUUAACACAUGCAAGUCGAGCGGUAAGGCCCUUUCGGGGGUACACGGGCGGCGAACGGGUGAGUAACACGUGGGUGACCUGCCCUUAGCUCUGGGAUAAGCCUGGGAAACUGGGUCUAAUACCGGAUAUGACUCCAUGACGCAUGUUGUGGGGUGGAAAGCCUUGUGCGGCUAGGGAUGGGCCCGCGGCCUAUCAGCUUGUUGGUGGGGUGAUGGCCUACCAAGGCGACGACGGGUAGCCGGCCUGAGAGGGCGACCGGCCACACUGGGACUGAGACACGGCCCAGACUCUACGGGAGGCAGCAGUGGGGAAUCUUGCGCAAUGGGCGAAAGCCUGACGCAGCGACGCCGCGUGAGGGAUGACGGCCU
RNAcentral lists this ribosomal RNA (387 nucleotides) under uncultured bacterium. RNAcentral describes it as "bacterial SSU rRNA". It matches the Rfam family "Bacterial small subunit ribosomal RNA", at positions 28 to 417 of the family's 1533-position model. The record is from RNAcentral.